GCGUGUGUGAAGAAGGCCUGCGGGUUGUAAAGCACUUUCAGCAGAGAAGAAAAGCGUUGUGCUAAUAUCAUAGCGUCUUGACGUAACCUGCAGAAGAAGCACCGGCUAACUCUGUGCCAGCAGCCGCGGUAAUACAGAGGGUGCGAGCGUUAAUCGGAAUUACUGGGCGUAAAGCGUGUGUAGGUGGUUACUUGAGUCGGAUGUGAAAGCCCCGGGCUUAACCUGGGAAUUGCAUUCGAUACUGGGUGGCUAGAGUAUGGUAGAGGGUAGCGGAAUUCCCGGUGUAGCGGUGAAAUGCGU
RNAcentral lists this ribosomal RNA (300 nucleotides) under uncultured bacterium. RNAcentral describes it as "bacterial SSU rRNA". It matches the Rfam family "Bacterial small subunit ribosomal RNA", at positions 399 to 691 of the family's 1533-position model. The record is from RNAcentral.